Molecule: ribosomal RNA, 442 nt
Filed under: uncultured bacterium
Lineage: Bacteria
Description: partial 16S ribosomal RNA
Rfam family: Bacterial small subunit ribosomal RNA
Source: RNAcentral
CCUACGGGUGGCUGCAGUGGGGAAUAUUGGGCAAUGGGCGAAAGCCUGACCCAGCAACGCCGCGUGAAGGAAGAAGGCUUUCGGGUUGUAAACUUCUUUUGACAGGGAAGAGCAGAAGACGGUACCUGUCGAAUAAGCCACGGCUAACUACGUGCCAGCAGCCGCGGUAAUACGUAGGUGGCAAGCGUUGUCCGGAUUUACUGGGUGUAAAGGGCGUGUAGCCGGGCUGACAAGUCAGAUGUGAAAACUACGGGCUUAACUUGUAGACUGCAGUUGAAACUGGUUUUCUUGAGUGAAGUAGAGGUUGGCGGAAUUCCGAGUGUAGCGGUGAAAUGCGUAGAUAUUCGGAGGAACACCGGUGGCGAAGGCGGCCAACUGGGCUUUAACUGACGCUGAGGCUCGAAAGUGUGGGGAGCAAACAGGAUUAGAUACCCUUGUAGUC